GGUAGAGCACUGUUUCGGCAAGGGGGUCAUCCCGACUUACCAACCCGAUGCAAACUGCGAAUACCGGAGAAUGUUAUCACGGGAGACACACGGCGGGUGCUAACGUCCGUCGUGAAGAGGGAAACAACCCAGACCGCCAGCUAAGGUCCCAAAGUCAUGGUUAAGUGGGAAACGAUGUGGGAAGGCCCAGACAGCCAGGAUGUUGGCUUAGAAGCAGCCAUCAUUUAAAGAAAGCGUAAUAGCUCACUGGUCGAGUCGGCCUGCGCGGAAGAUGUAACGGGGCUAAACCAUGCACCGAAGCUGCGGCAGCGACGCUUAUGCGUUGUUGGGUAGGGGAGCGUUCUGUAAGCCUGCGAAGGUGUGCUGUGAGGCAUGCUGGAGGUAUCAGAAGUGCGAAUGCUGACAUAAGUAACGAUAAAGCGGGUGAAAAGCCCGCUCGCCGGAAGACCAAGGGUUCCUGUCCAACGUUAAUCGGGGCAGGGUGAGUCGACCCCUAAGGCGAGGCCGAAAGGCGUAGUCGAUGGGAAACAGGUUAAUAUUCCUGUACUUGGUGUUACUGCGAAGGGGGGACGGAGAAGGCUAUGUUGGCCGGGCGACGGUUGUCCCGGUUUAAGCGUGUAGGCUGGUUUUCCAGGCAAAUCCGGAAAAUCAAGGCUGAGGCGUGAUGACGAGGCACUACGGUGCUGAAGCAACAAAUGCCCUGCUUCCAGGAAAAGCCUCUAAGCAUCAGGUAACAUCAAAUCGUACCCCAAACCGACACAGGUGGUCAGGUAGAGAAUACCAAGGCGCUUGAGAGAACUCGGGUGAAGGAACUAGGCAAAAUGGUGCCGUAACU
RNAcentral lists this ribosomal RNA (835 nucleotides) under Escherichia coli. Its description in RNAcentral is "partial 23S ribosomal RNA". It matches the Rfam family "Bacterial large subunit ribosomal RNA", at positions 901 to 1735 of the family's 2925-position model. Lineage: Bacteria; Pseudomonadati; Pseudomonadota; Gammaproteobacteria; Enterobacterales; Enterobacteriaceae. The record is from RNAcentral.